CCAUAGUGAUGCUUCUGACUUUCAUUCUUCUGAGUUUGCUGAAACCAGAUGCCAUUUUUGAGAAGG
This 66-nucleotide small nucleolar RNA is filed under the name Carlito syrichta (Philippine tarsier). RNAcentral describes it as "Small nucleolar RNA SNORD59 (ENSTSYG00000024975.2)". It matches the Rfam family "Small nucleolar RNA SNORD59". From Rfam's summary of the family: U59 belongs to the C/D class of snoRNA which contain the C (UGAUGA) and D (CUGA) box motifs. Most of the members of the box C/D family function in directing site-specific 2'-O-methylation of substrate RNAs. The record is from Rfam by way of RNAcentral. Lineage: Eukaryota; Metazoa; Chordata; Mammalia; Primates; Tarsiidae.